Molecule: long non-coding RNA, 589 nt
Organism: Alligator sinensis (Chinese alligator)
Lineage: Eukaryota; Metazoa; Chordata; Crocodylia; Alligatoridae
Exons: 4
Source: RefSeq, a predicted model, not a curated record
AUGGGACCAGACUUGUGUCCGUCUCCAGGUGAAUGCUUCAUGAUUCCCAUUCAUAGUCAGGUAGCAACCUGUAUCUGAGCAGGGAAGCUAGAGCAUACCUCUGUGUUAUAGUGUUAUUUCCACAUCACUGAAAGGGGACAGGAAUAUAAAGCUGGUGAAGAAGCAGAGGAUGGGGAACAGGCUGUGGCUAUGGCAUGCUAAACUGAGGAGGGAGACUGGCAGCUGUGGGGAGAUUCUUAGGCUGCUGGUCUGAAUUCCUGAUGGCUUGGGUUUGACUUUCCGGCAGAGCUUUCGCCUCCUAGGUGGGGCCCUACUCCCACAGGAGGCAUGAGCCACAGCUGGGAGGCAAGUCCUGAUGCUGACUGGUUAGACAUGCCCUGAGGCACAGUCAAAAAAACACCAAAAGUGACGGGAGGAGCCCUUGGAUGAUGGAUGAAGACACACGUUGGAAGAGGCAUUCUUGCAAGCAAGCUAAGGAAGUAUAGUUUGGAUGGAAGGACUGUAAGGUAAGUAGAAAGCUGGAUGUAUUGUUGGGCUCAGUGGGUAGUGAUCAAUGGCUUUGUCACAACCCAAAGUUGUGAUUUCUUUU